UGCAAGUCGAGCGGACCGACGGGAGCUUGCUCCCUUAGGUCAGCGGCGGACGGGUGAGUAACACGUGGGUAACCUGCCUGUAAGACUGGGAUAACUCCGGGAAACCGGGGCUAAUACCGGAUGCUUGAUUGAACCGCAUGGUUCAAUCAUAAAAGGUGGCUUUUAGCUACCACUUACAGAUGGACCCGCGGCGCAUUAGCUAGUUGGUGAGGUAACGGCUCACCAAGGCGACGAUGCGUAGCCGACCUGAGAGGGUGAUCGGCCACACUGGGACUGAGACACGGCCCAGACUCCUACGGGAGGCAGCAGUAGGGAAUCUUCCGCAAUGGACGAAAGUCUGACGGAGCAACGCCGCGUGAGUGAUGAAGGUUUUCGGAUCGUAAAACUCUGUUGUUAGGGAAGAACAAGUACCGUUCGAAUAGGGCGGUACCUUGACGGUACCUAACCAGAAAGCCACGGCUAACUACGUGCCAGCAGCCGCGGUAAUACGUAGGUGGCAAGCGUUGUCCGGAAUUAUUGGGCGUAAAGCGCGCGCAGGCGGUUUCUUAAGUCUGAUGUGAAAGCCCCCGGCUCAACCGGGGAGGGUCAUUGGAAACUGGGGAACUUGAGUGCAGAAGAGGAGAGUGGAAUUCCACGUGUAGCGGUGAAAUGCGUAGAGAUGUGGAGGAACACCAGU
This 676-nucleotide ribosomal RNA is filed under the name Bacillus licheniformis. RNAcentral describes it as "bacterial SSU rRNA". It matches the Rfam family "Bacterial small subunit ribosomal RNA", at positions 56 to 713 of the family's 1533-position model. The record is from RNAcentral. Lineage: Bacteria; Bacillati; Bacillota; Bacilli; Caryophanales; Bacillaceae.